RNAcentral lists this ribosomal RNA (484 nucleotides) under uncultured bacterium. RNAcentral's name for it is "partial 16S ribosomal RNA". It matches the Rfam family "Bacterial small subunit ribosomal RNA", at positions 30 to 507 of the family's 1533-position model. The record is from RNAcentral.
AUUGAACGCUGGCGGCAGGCCUAACACAUGCAAGUCGAGCGGAUGAAGGGAGCUUGCUCCUGGAUUCAGCGGCGGACGGGUGAGUAAUGCCUAGGAAUCUGCCUGGUAGUGGGGGAUAACGUCCGGAAACGGGCGCUAAUACCGCAUACGUCCUUAGGGAGAAAGUGGGGGAUCUUCGGACCUCACGCUAUCAGAUGAGCCUAGGUCGGAUUAGCUAGUUGGUGGGGUAAAGGCCUACCAAGGCGACGAUCCGUAACUGGUCUGAGAGGAUGAUCAGUCACACUGGAACUGAGACACGGUCCAGACUCCUACGGGAGGCAGCAGUGGGGAAUAUUGGACAAUGGGCGAAAGCCUGAUCCAGCCAUGCCGCGUGUGUGAAGAAGGUCUUCGGAUUGUAAAGCACUUUAAGUUGGGAGGAAGAGCAGUAAGUUAAUACCUUGCUGUUUUGACGUUACCAACAGAAUAAGCACCGGCUAACUUCGUG